CAAGACAGAGGUGAAAUCCCCGGGCUCAACCUGGGAACUGCCUUUGUGACUGCAUGGCUAGAGUACGGUAGAGGGGGAUGGAAUUCCGCGUGUAGCAGUGAAAUGCGUAGAUAUGCGGAGGAACACCGAUGGCGAAGGCAAUCCCCUGGACCUGUACUGACGCUCAUGCACGAAAGCGUGGGGAGCAAACAGGAUUAGAU
Molecule: ribosomal RNA, 200 nt
Filed under: uncultured Burkholderiales bacterium
Lineage: Bacteria; Pseudomonadati; Pseudomonadota; Betaproteobacteria; Burkholderiales
Description: partial 16S ribosomal RNA
Rfam family: Bacterial small subunit ribosomal RNA
Source: RNAcentral